AACAACCCAAAGCCAAAUAAACUUCAUCCAACCAAAACAAUACAAUAUUUUCAACAUAUACAUUAAACUAUUUCAAAAUAAACUUCAUCCAACUUCAAAAUAAACUAAAAUACGAUCAAAUUAAACAAUUCCAAAAAUAUAGAAGUCUAAAAUGUCAAAUAGAUACAACUACUCCUAAUCACUCUCACUCUCCUUAUCAGACGUACCAUUCUCAUCACCCUCAUUUUCCUUAUCAACUUAUCAUUCUCAUCACUAUUGGCCGGAC
Molecule: long non-coding RNA, 265 nt
Filed under: Solanum tuberosum (potato)
Lineage: Eukaryota; Viridiplantae; Streptophyta; Magnoliopsida; Solanales; Solanaceae
Description: long non-coding RNA (STUB_LNC009102)
Source: RNAcentral